GUGCUCACUUUGGCAGCACAUGUACUAAAAUUGGAACGAUACAGAGAAGAUUAACAUGGCCCCUGCGCAAGGAUGACACGCAAAAUGUUAGAAAGCCAUUGCUUUACA
Small nuclear RNA from Ochotona princeps (American pika), 108 nucleotides. NCBI's taxonomy places the organism in Eukaryota, Metazoa, Chordata, Mammalia, Lagomorpha, Ochotonidae. The record is from RefSeq and is a predicted model, not a curated record.